Cyanistes caeruleus (blue tit) is the source of this 1760-nucleotide non-coding RNA. NCBI's taxonomy places the organism in Eukaryota, Metazoa, Chordata, Aves, Passeriformes, Paridae. The record is from RefSeq and is a predicted model, not a curated record.
AUGGCUGAAGCGGUAUGAAGGGUGAGGCGGGAUGAGGAAUAACGCGGGAUGAGGCUGCCCGGCAAUGGCGGGGAUGGAUCCGCCGCUCGCCCGCCCGGUUCUGGCGGGGCCAUGACCGGGCCAUGGCUGUGGGCGAGCGGAAAGCAGCGGGCCCGGCCGCCGGUGGCGUUUCCCUCAGUGCGGCUCGUUCUCUCUGUGUUUGUGCUGCCUUCAGACGCUACCAGCACUGUUUGAAUUACCCUCUCGGUAUUUUGGUAUAAAUCAUCGGGUGUGCUCCACAUGGAAGGGUGGAUCUGUGACCGAAAGGCAGACGGUCAGAUACAGUGUCUCCUUGGAAGUGCAGGCUACAGACGCUCAGCCCUUCUGAUGGGAGAAGUGCACAGAGACCUUUGAAGGUUUUGACAGAAGAUAAAGAGCUGGCCCUGGCACCUCUUGGAUACAAAGUCAGAUGGCAUUCAGAUACUUGGAAAUUGGUCAGAGAUUUGGCAAAGCAUGAGGAAUAAACAGCCUAAUCCAAGGAAAUACUCACAGCACAAUUUGCUGAUGCAAUCCUUGCUUGCCCUCUGCCCCCUGAACUUUCACAUGAAUUCAUUCAACCACUGCUGCAGCCAAAACCCACAGUUUAAAGGAGAGGGAAUGGAAAAUAAAAAGUUUUCUGCAUGAGCCCUGUGCUCCAUCAUCUCAGGGGAGCUCUGCAAACACCAGGGCAAGGUGAAGCAAGAGGAGAUGGCUGGCAGGGCCCUGGGGAAGGGCAGGCACAGCCUCUUCUUUUUGGCUGCAGAGAGCUCUGAAAUUCUCUCAUCUCAUUAAAGGCACCUUUGCUUUACACCUCUGUUGUGGAUGAGCACUGGAGAAAAGCUGGAGGCUUCGACCUAUGAAAAAUUAAAGUUUUUUCCAUCUGGAGCUCAUAGAAUAGUCUUUAUUGUGUGGAGACACAUCAAGACUCUUAUCCUUGGGGCCUAAGGACCACUGUCCCCUUGCAGAUUUUAAGAAGUGUGGCCAAAGUAGCUUUAAUGCAGAUUGAUGUUACAAACAUUGCUGCCCAUGGAAUUCUGGUCCUGAUUUUCUGUCUUUCAGCCCUUGACAGCACCUGUACACCUUGGCCUUUCACUGAAUUAGUGCUCUCACACCACCACACAUGAAAACGGCUCUUCAGAAGCAUUUGUAGACUCCUGCAGGAGAUUCUUGCUGAAAUGAUUAUUCUAGUUCUAACACCUGCCUAUGCACAAGAGACCAAAACCACAGCCAAGGAAGAGACAAAAGAUUGUGACCAACAUUCUGAGCAAUGAUUUUUUUGCACGCAUCAGGGAGAAGGGAGGGAACAAAUAGAAGAGGAUAAACAAAGGCCACAAAAGGAUUUCAUCUACAUGGUCAUGAACAUAGGUUCUACCUAUUUGCCUUGAAGAGCCUGACAAGUUGAAAUGUCUAUUUCGUCCAAAUGCAAAAGACACUCCUUUCUAUCACCUAUGAAACAAAAUCACGUUUCAGCUUAGAACUGGAGUGGAAAAGAGCUGCAUUAAUGCAUCAGUCAGCUAAAAAAACUGCUUGACAAGAACUUGGGAUUCUAGUGUAACAGCACCUAUUAAGACUCCUCUAGUUUCUUCAUUUUUGCUCUUUCAAAGUGUACAAGUAUUCACAAUUUAUACAGUCUUACCAAAACCACUUCUACAAAGUUUGCAGGGUAUUUGUUAGUUAGUUCAAUUCAUGUCUUUCAUAUUAAAAAGGCAAGGUUUGCAUAAUAAAACUUCCAGAAAAAUGUU